RNAcentral lists this ribosomal RNA (606 nucleotides) under uncultured bacterium. Its description in RNAcentral is "bacterial SSU rRNA". It matches the Rfam family "Bacterial small subunit ribosomal RNA", at positions 68 to 688 of the family's 1533-position model. The record is from RNAcentral.
AACGGGGGAGCAAUCCCCAGUUGUGGCGAACGGCGGAGUAUACAUGAGGAACGUGCCCUGAAGACUGGGAUAGUCGUUGGAAACGACGGGUAAUACCAGAUGUGGCGGAGGCUUGGCAUCAAGCUUCCACUAAAAGGUUUUUCGCUUCAGGAGUGCCUCAUGGCCUAUCUAGUGUAGUUGGUGAGGUAAUGGCUCACCUAAGCCGACGACGGGUAGCGGGUCUCAGAGGAUGAUCCGCUCGAGUGGGACUGAGACACGGUCCACACACCAUACGGGUGGCAGCAGUUGGGGAUCUUGCACAAUGGGGGAAACCCUGAUGCAGCGACGCCGCGUGGAGGAUGAAGGGUCUAGGCCUGUAAACUCCUUUUAUGGGGAAAGACUUAGGACGGUACCCCAUGAAUAGGACCGGCUAACUACGUGCCAGCAGCCGCGGUAAGACGUAGGGUCCAAGCGUUGUCCGGAUUUACUGGGCGUAAAGAGCGCGUAGGCGGCUCGUUAAGUGUGAAGUGAAAUCUCUAGGGCUCAACCCAGAAACUGCUUUACAUACUGGCGAGCUAAGGGAUGCAGAAGGUUUGUGGAAUUCCCCUGGGUGUAGCGGGUGAAAUG